AUUGAACGCUGGCGGCAUGCUUUACACAUGCAAGUCGAACGGUAACAGGUUAAGCUGACGAGUGGCGAACGGGUGAGUUAUGCAUCGGAACGUGCCCGAUCGUGGGGGAUAACGCAGCGAAAGCUGCGCUAAUACCGCAUACGAUCUGAGGAUGAAAACGGGGGACCGUAAGGCCUCGCGCGAUCGGAGCGGCCGAUGUCAGAGUAGGUAGUUGGGGGGGUAAAGGCCCACCAAGCCGACGAUCUGUAGCUGGUCUGAGAGGACGACCAGCCACACUGGGACUGAGACACGGCCCAGACUCCUACGGGAGGCAGCAGUGGGGAAUUUUGGACAAUGGGCGAAAGCCUGAUCCAGCAAUGCCGCGUGCAGGAAGAAGGCCUUCGGGUUGUAAACUGCUUUUGUACGGAGCGAAAAGGUCCUUUCUAAUACAGGGGGCUCAUGACGGUACCGUAAGAAUAAGCACCGGCUAACUACGUGCCAGCCGCCGCCAUAA
RNAcentral lists this ribosomal RNA (493 nucleotides) under uncultured bacterium. RNAcentral describes it as "partial 16S ribosomal RNA". It matches the Rfam family "Bacterial small subunit ribosomal RNA", at positions 29 to 523 of the family's 1533-position model. The record is from RNAcentral.